This 281-nucleotide long non-coding RNA is filed under the name Volvox carteri. Its description in RNAcentral is "long non-coding RNA (VCAR_LNC001063)". The record is from RNAcentral. Lineage: Eukaryota; Viridiplantae; Chlorophyta; Chlorophyceae; Chlamydomonadales; Volvocaceae.
AUUUACAGGAGAAGACGACCGCGCCCGCUUGUUUGCUCCAUAGUCGUAUGUGGGGUUCAAGGCUGCCUGAAAGCGCUUCAUAGCCAAAACAAGGUUCCCAAUCAAUUUGAAGGUAGGCUUCUUCUUCUCUGAAGUUAACUUCUCGGUCUCCAUGGCCUCUAGACCUAUGCCGGUAUCCUUCAGAUGGAAUGUAUGAGCAAAAUCUGUUUAAGUAAGAAGAUAUGUUAGAUGUUCCCAGUGUAUCACACCACAGCUGCAACAAAGAGGGAAUCACAUUCCGU